CCUACGGGAGGCAGCAGUGGGGAAUAUUGGACAAUGGGCGGAAGCCUGAUCCAGCAACGCCGCGUGAGGGAUGACGGCCUUCGGGUUGUAAACCUCUUUCAGUACCGACGAAGCGCAAGUGACGGUAGGUACAGAAGAAGCACCGGCCAACUACGUGCCAGCAGCCGCGGUAAUACGUAGGGUGCGAGCGUUGUCCGGAAUUAUUGGGCGUAAAGGGCUCGUAGGCGGUUUGUCGCGUCGGGAGUGAAAACGCCGUGCUUAACACGGCGCUUGCUUUCGAUACGGGCAGACUAGAGGUAUGCAGGGGAGAACGGAAUUCCUGGUGUAGCGGUGAAAUGCGCAGAUAUCAGGAGGAACACCGGUGGCGAAGGCGGUUCUCUGGGCAUUACCUGACGCUGAGGAGCGAAAGUGUGGGGAGCGAACAGGGAUUAGAUACCCUGGUAGUCCACACCGUAAACGUUGGGCGCUAGGUNUGGGGUCCAUUCCACGACGUCGUCGCGCNGCUACGCAUAAGUACGCCCGCCGUCGGGUAGGUACGGCCGGCCGACGACGUAAACGUAAACGGUAAAGUUAGACGGCGNGUAAGUACGUGUUCGACGGACGACGACGAGGGAGGAGG
This 619-nucleotide ribosomal RNA is filed under the name uncultured bacterium. Its description in RNAcentral is "bacterial SSU rRNA". The stretch from base 1 to 524 matches the Rfam family "Bacterial small subunit ribosomal RNA", at positions 338 to 873 of the family's 1533-position model. The record is from RNAcentral.